Molecule: ribosomal RNA, 406 nt
Filed under: uncultured bacterium
Lineage: Bacteria
Description: partial 16S ribosomal RNA
Rfam family: Bacterial small subunit ribosomal RNA
Source: RNAcentral
AUUGAACGCUGGCGGCAGGCCUAACACAUGCAAGUCGAACGAGUGGCGGACGGGUGAGUAAUGUCUGGGAAACUGCCUGAUGGAGGGGGAUAACUACUGGAAACGGUAGCUAAUACCGCAUACCAUCAGAUGUGCCCCGAUGGGAUGAGCUAGUUGGUGGGGUAACGGCUAACAAAGGAGACGAUCCCUAGCUGGUCUGAGAGGAUGACCAGCCACACGGGAACUGAGACAGGGCCCACACUCCUACAGGAGGCAUCAGUGGGGAAUAUUGCACAAUGGGCGCAAGCCUGAUGCAGCCAUGCCGCGUGUAUGAAGAAGGCCUUCGGGUUGUAAAGUACUGUCGGCGGGGAGGCGUUACCCGCAGAAGAAGCACCGGCUAACUCCGUGCCAGCAGCCGCGGUAAUUC